CCCAGUAGCCAUAUCACCCUGUAGCCCAAGACUGGUCGUCCACUAAAGCUAAGCAGGGUUGAGCUUGGCCAGUACCUGGUUGGGAGACCUCCUGGGAAAACUAUAGGCUGCUGCUGGAA
This is a ribosomal RNA of Sinocyclocheilus grahami, 119 nucleotides long. Lineage: Eukaryota; Metazoa; Chordata; Actinopteri; Cypriniformes; Cyprinidae. The record is from Ensembl.